Pistacia vera is the source of this 1209-nucleotide long non-coding RNA. RefSeq lists it as uncharacterized. NCBI's taxonomy places the organism in Eukaryota, Viridiplantae, Streptophyta, Magnoliopsida, Sapindales, Anacardiaceae. The record is from RefSeq and is a predicted model, not a curated record. The transcript is spliced from 3 exons.
AGACGCCAAGUAAACAAACGCCGAAACGCGUACCAAAUUAAAAGAUUCAAACUCCAGUUUCUUUCCUCCAGUGCUACCGCCUCCGCUGCCGACGGCACAUAAGGCCAGCGCCAGCCUCAGCUGCUCCACUUCUUCUUCAAUCUGUGCAGGACCGAAAAUAAUGCUUUUCAUGAGGAAAUCGAGGCAUCAUAUGUUUUCUUUACUUACUAAUAGGGGUUAUAACUCCGCUCGGAUUUCACAACUCCAAAUUCAGGAGAGUUUGGAGUCGCGUAAGAAUCUAUGAGCCUGUUGGCUACUCUUUGAGGAAGUUGCUGCAUUCUUGCUUUAUCAAAUACAUGUUUUUCGUAGUGGAAGACCUUUAAAAUCAUCAAAGCAGAAGAGCCUGAAAAAUUAUUGUUUUUCUUUUACUUCAAAAUUAUGAGUUUUUUCAUUCUAAAGACUAAAGUUUUGAAUUAGUAAAGAGAAUUCAAAAGUCAGAUUUUUUUGUUUCCCUAUUAUUUUUUAUAGGCAUAAAAAUAAUUUAAAUGAAAUCAAAGCAGUGGCGAGGGAGUUGAAGAUAAUGCUAAAAAGAGAAAUCUGAAAUCAAUAAAGAAGAUAACAAAUUGCUCUGAAAGUUGAAAUAUGCAAGGAGUGGGAGCUACAGGAGCAGGGAUAUGUUUCUGGAGCCUGAGAAGCAUUUGAGCAGGGUUUGGGCUAGGGAUAGAGACGCUCCGGCUUGAAAGAAGAGUAGGAAACUGAUUUGCAUAAACUAGAUCGAAAGUGAAAUAGCUUGUUUGACUUGUUUGCUGUAAACCGUGGCACAGAUGAUGACCAAGAUUUUGCUGACAUUUGCAGAUCAAAGAAUUCAUGAAGCAGCUUAUUGCUGCCCUUCGCGGAUGGACCUUCGGAUAAGGACAUCACAAAUUUCCGUAGACUUGUUUGACUGAUGAAGGUGCGGUUCCAUUUGAAAGCAUACUCCUUCCUAUGUAUAGAACCAUAACAUUCAACUUCUGUAAUCAUCUUCAUUUCAUGAAAUUCUGGAAUUUUAGGUUCCAAAAUUGUUCUAUUGCAUUACAUGAUACAUAGUUUGAGAUGUUUACAUUGUCACCACAAUAAGAUGGAAAAUCUUCAAUCCUUUCAAACAGUGUGUUGGCUUUGGUUUCACAGGUAAUAAAGUAUCUGUAUCAUAAGCUGAUAAUUUUCAAGAAAUUUGGAGGGUAACUUCAAAUG